Molecule: ribosomal RNA, 1372 nt
Filed under: uncultured bacterium
Lineage: Bacteria
Description: bacterial SSU rRNA
Rfam family: Bacterial small subunit ribosomal RNA
Source: RNAcentral
GAUGAACGCUGGCGGCGUGCCUAAUACAUGCAAGUCGAGCGAACAGAUAAGGAGCUUGCUCCUUUGACGUUAGCGGCGGACGGGUGAGUAACACGUGGGUAACCUACCUAUAAGACUGGGAUAACUUCGGGAAACCGGAGCUAAUACCGGAUAACAUUUGGAACCGCAUGGUUCUAAAGUGAAAGAUGGUUUUGCUAUCACUUAUAGAUGGACCCGCGCCGUAUUAGCUAGUUGGUAAGGUAACGGCUUACCAAGGCGACGAUACGUAGCCGACCUGAGAGGGUGAUCGGCCACACUGGAACUGAGACACGGUCCAGACUCCUACGGGAGGCAGCAGUAGGGAAUCUUCCGCAAUGGGUGAAAGCCUGACGGAGCAACGCCGCGUGAGUGAUGAAGGGUUUCGGCUCGUAAAACUCUGUUAUUAGGGAAGAACAAAUGUGUAAGUAACUGUGCACAUCUUGACGGUACCUAAUCAGAAAGCCACGGCUAACUACGUGCCAGCAGCCGCGGUAAUACGUAGGUGGCAAGCGUUAUCCGGAAUUAUUGGGCGUAAAGCGCGCGUAGGCGGUUUCUUAAGUCUGAUGUGAAAGCCCACGGCUCAACCGUGGAGGGUCAUUGGAAACUGGGAAACUUGAGUGCAGAAGAGGAAAGUGGAAUUCCAUGUGUAGCGGUGAAAUGCGCAGAGAUAUGGAGGAACACCAGUGGCGAAGGCGACUUUCUGGUCUGUAACUGACGCUGAUGUGCGAAAGCGUGGGGAUCAAACAGGAUUAGAUACCCUGGUAGUCCACGCCGUAAACGAUGAGUGCUAAGUGUUAGGGGGUUUCCGCCCCUUAGUGCUGCAGCUAACGCAUUAAGCACUCCGCCUGGGGAGUACGACCGCAAGGUUGAAACUCAAAGGAAUUGACGGGGACCCGCACAAGCGGUGGAGCAUGUGGUUUAAUUCGAAGCAACGCGAAGAACCUUACCAAAUCUUGACAUCCUUUGAAAACUCUAGAGAUAGAGCCUUCCCCUUCGGGGGACAAAGUGACAGGUGGUGCAUGGUUGUCGUCAGCUCGUGUCGUGAGAUGUUGGGUUAAGUCCCGCAACGAGCGCAACCCUUAAGCUUAGUUGCCAUCAUUAAGUUGGGCACUCUAGGUUGACUGCCGGUGACAAACCGGAGGAAGGUGGGGAUGACGUCAAAUCAUCAUGCCCCUUAUGAUUUGGGCUACACACGUGCUACAAUGGACAAUACAAAGGGCAGCUAAACCGCGAGGUCAUGCAAAUCCCAUAAAGUUGUUCUCAGUUCGGAUUGUAGUCUGCAACUCGACUACAUGAAGCUGGAAUCGCUAGUAAUCGUAGAUCAGCAUGCUACGGUGAAUACGUUCCGGGGUCU